This 261-nucleotide long non-coding RNA is filed under the name Mytilus galloprovincialis (Mediterranean mussel). Lineage: Eukaryota; Metazoa; Mollusca; Bivalvia; Mytilida; Mytilidae. The record is from RNAcentral.
UUAAAGGAAAAGUAAACGUUGACAUUCUGUCAGAAUAUUCUAAAUCUUUGAGGUCAUUUGUGUAAAUCAGAACGUUAUCAAUCUAUAACAAAUACACAUCCUCGCCGAUUUUGAAAUACAUCAAAUGUGGCUACGGUGAUGACUGCUAAAUCAAAAAUACUAUUCCUUAUUCUGGAACGUUACUUUAAGCUUUGUAAAUAAGUGACAUAUAAAAAGCAGAUAAUGUAAUAUGCCAUAUACAUGUAUAUAUACGUCUAUAAA